This 484-nucleotide ribosomal RNA is filed under the name uncultured bacterium. RNAcentral's name for it is "partial 16S ribosomal RNA". It matches the Rfam family "Bacterial small subunit ribosomal RNA", at positions 30 to 507 of the family's 1533-position model. The record is from RNAcentral.
AUUGAACGCUGGCGGCAGGCCUAACACAUGCAAGUCGAGCGGAUGAAGGGAGCUUGCUCCUGGAUUCAGCGGCGGACGGGUGAGUAAUGCCUAGGAAUCUGCCUGGUAGUGGGGGAUAACGUCCGGAAACGGGCGCUAAUACCGCAUACGUCCUGAGGGAGAAAGUGGGGGAUCUUCGGACCUCACGCUAUCAGAUGAGCCUAGGUCGGAUUAGCUAGUUGGUGGGGUAAAGGCCUACCAAGGCGACGAUCCGUAACUGGUCUGAGAGGAUGAUCAGUCACACUAGAACUGAGACACGGUCCAGACUCCUACGGGAGGCAGCAGUGGGGAAUAUUGGACAAUGGGCGAAAGCCUGAUCCAGCCAUGCCGCGUGUGUGAAGAAGGUCUUCGGAUUGUAAAGCACUUUAAGUUGGGAGGAAGGGCAGUAAGUUAAUACCUUGCUGUUUUGACGUUACCAACAGAAUAAACACCGGCUAACUUCGUG